Odocoileus virginianus texanus is the source of this 456-nucleotide long non-coding RNA. RefSeq lists it as uncharacterized. The record is from RefSeq and is a predicted model, not a curated record. NCBI's taxonomy places the organism in Eukaryota, Metazoa, Chordata, Mammalia, Artiodactyla, Cervidae.
CGGGUGUGGGGGAAGGGAAGUGAGGGAGGGGCCGUCCAGGUGUCUGGAAUCACCGGCGCUCUGCUUUAUAGGGGUGAUUUGAUUAUUUCCACUUAUUUGCUGUUACAUCAAAUGCCUGCAGGAGUUAUCCACUUGUGAAUGUGAAGAAAAAUAUCUUUACCAAGAGCUUGUGCAGCUUCAACUUUACCAGGCAGCUGGCUGACAACGAGGCUGGCUCUCCUGAGUCCACCACCUACAGACCCUGGCAACCGAAAGUGACAGGCUCAUGCUCUGACAGUGGUGCUGACAGCCUCCCUGCCACCCUCAGGCAGCCCAGGGCCUGGCUUGUGACCGCGCAUUCUCAGCCCAUCAGUCCUCAGGGAACGGAACGGCCCUUUCCUGCUCCAGUGAAUCGGAAGGUUUUAUCUGGAGGGCCUCCCAGUCACCUGGGAAACCAAAUCCUCUCAGCCUUUCAAA